GAUGAAGAACGCAGCGAACUGCGAUAAGUAAUGUGAAUUGCAGAAUUCAGUGAAUCAUCGAGUCUUUGAACGCACACUGCGCCCCCUGGCAUUCCGGGGGGCAUGCCUGUCCGAGCGUCAUUGCUGCCCUUCAAGCCCGGCUUGUGUGUUGGGUCGUCGUCCCCCCCGGGGGACGGGCCCGAAAGGCAGCGGCGGCACCGCGUCCGGUCCUCGAGCGUAUGGGGCUUUGUCACCCGCUCGAUUAGGGCCGGCCGGGCGCCAGCCGGCGUCUCCAACCUUCUAUUUUACCAGGUUGACCUCGGAUCAGGUAGGGAUACCCGCUGAACUUAAGCAUAUCAAUAAGCGGAGGA
This 350-nucleotide unclassified non-coding RNA is filed under the name soil metagenome. RNAcentral's name for it is "partial contains 5.8S ribosomal RNA, internal transcribed spacer 2, and large subunit ribosomal RNA". The stretch from base 1 to 120 matches the Rfam family "5.8S ribosomal RNA", at positions 35 to 154 of the family's 154-position model. The record is from RNAcentral.